GUCACAGGCUUGUGCGUUGUAGUCACACAGGUGUUGUCCCACCACCUUGCCAUGUUCCGUCCCCUGGGUAGAAAACAAGCCACGGGCCCCACUCACACUCAUGGGGAGGAGCCUCCACAAGGGCGGGACCACCAGGAGGUGCGGGUCAUGGGGGCACUUAGAGUCUCUCUGCCACAGUACUGGUGUUCCUCCCACUUUACGGAGAACUUGCUGAAGGUCGUUACAGCCUGGAUUCAAACACGUUCUGGCUGCAGCAUGUGUGCUCUUAGCUCCGCCUGUCCUAUUUCUGGCCUUUGGUAGAAGGCCAGAAUCUAUCCCCUGAAUUGCAGGGGAUAGAUUUAGGAAUUAUUGGUUUAUAGGUACUGAAACCAUGGGUGUAGAAACCAUGCAUAUUCUGGCUGGGCGCAGUGGCUCACGCCUGAAUCCCAGCACUUUGGGAGGCCGAGGUGGGCAGAUCACGAGGUCAGAAGAUCGAGACCAUCCUGGCUAACAUGGUGAAACCCUGUCUCUACUAAAAAAUACAAAAAAAAAAAAAAACAAAAAACAUUGGCCGGGCAUGGUGGCAGGCCCCUGUAGUCCCAGCUACUCCGGAGGCUGAGGCAGGAGAAUGGCAUGAACCUGGGAGGUGGAGCUUGCAGUGAGCCGAGAUCACACCACUGCACUCCAGCCUGGGGACAGAGCCAGACUCUGUCUCAAAAAAAAAAAAAGCAUAUUCUGAUUGUGUAGGCCCCAGGAGGGGGCUGAGAUUCUGGAUUUCCCAGAAGCUCCCAGGCUGCUGCAGACCACACAGUAGAAGCAAGGAUGUGGAUGAGAUUGCUUAGGGUGAUUGGAUGGGUGAGAAAGAUCAAGGAGAGAACCUUGAGGUGUGUACCAGCUUGGUAGAGAUUUUAGGAAGAAUGUUGGGAUGAAAAGAAGGUCAAGUGCAGAAUGCUGUAGAAAGGUGGGAUGGGGAGAUGUCUCCACCCAGUCUCCUACAUGCAGGGGGUUAGGUGCUGCCGUUCUGUCCAGGAUAUUCAAUCUUAGAAGAACCUAGUAGAAAACUCUGAUCUACCACUGCCUUCAUCAUCCUCUUAUUCUGUAUUUAUAGAUAAAGAAAUAGAAUUGCAAGGAUGAAAUAGCCUUUGCAUAGUUUCCUUUUAUUAUCACUUAACUCAAUUCCUGCUGGGUGCAGUGGCUCACACCUGUAAUCCUAGCACUUUGGGAGGCAGAGGCGGGUGGAUCACUUGAGGUCAGGAGUUCAAGACCAGCCUGACCAACAUGGUGAAACCCUGUCUCUACUAAAAAUACAAAAUUAGCCAGGCGUAGUGGUGCACGCUUGUAAUCCCAGCUACUCAGGAGGCUGAAGCAGGAGAAUCACUUGAACCCAGGAGGCGGAGGUUUCAGUGAGCCAAGAUUGCGCCAUUGCACUCCAGCACAAGAGUGAAACUGUCUCAAAAAAACCUCAAUUCCUGUUACCAGCUUUACUUUUUUAUUUACAUUCAAAUACUUAGGCAAUGUGUUACUCUUUUCCUAAGAAAGAUGUUAAUGGCUAAUAAAUCAAGCCCUUUUUUAUUUUUUAUUUUUUAUUUUUGCAGUUGAGUCUUACUGUGUUGCCCAGGCUGGAGUGCAGUGGCGUAAUCUCAGCUCACUGCAACCUCCGCCUCCUGGGCUCAAGCCAUCCUCCCACCUCAGCCUCCUGAGUAGCUGGGACAAUGGGUGUGCACCACCAUGCCCAGCUAUUUUUGUAUUUUUUGUAAAGAUGGGGUCUUGCUGUGUUGCGCAGGCUGGUCUUGAACUACUGGGUUCAAGCAAUUCUCCCACCUCAGCCUCUCAAAAUGCUGGGAUUACAGGUGUGAGCCACUGUGGCCAGCCAAGACCUUAUUGUAAUUAAAUUUUUAUUAAAGCGUUUCGAGCUAAAUGUACAUUAUCAAAGGAGGAAACGUGGGAGGUUGUAUUAAUUUCCUAGGGCUGCCAUAACAAAUUACCACAAAUCAGGUGGCUUAACACAGAAAUGUAUUCACUCACAGUUCUGGAGGUCGGAAGUCUGAAAUCAAGGUGUUGGGGCUGUGCUUCCUCUAGAAUCCUUCCUGGUCUAGUCCAGCUCCUGCUGGCUCCGGGAGUUCUUUGGCUUGUGGCAGCAUAACUCCAAUCUCUGCCUCUGUGUUCACAUGGCUGCCUCCUCUCUGUCUCUGCGUUUCUUCUCUUUUUAAAGAAUACUUACUGCACAUUGGAUUUAGGACCCACCCUAAAUCUCGGAUGUCCUUCUGAGGUCCUUAAUUACAUUUUCAAAGACGCUAUUUUUGAAUAAGGUCACAUUCACAGGGUCUGGGGGUCAGGACUUGGACAUAUUCUUUUGGGGGCUGCUGUUGAGCCCACUACAGAGGUGAGCACUACAUGAUUGUGAGCAGUGUGAAAAAAAGGUGAGAUGCAGUGAUGUGUGGAUUUUUGCACAUUUUAUUUCUAAAAUGUUAAUGUGAAUUGUUUGUUUUUCCAUUAGGAAAUAUGCAAAAGCUGAAACUCUUAUGACAGUCACUGAUCCUGUUCAUGAUAUUGCAUUCGCUCCAAAUUUGGGAAGAUCUUUCCAUAUUCUAGCAAUAGCGACCAAAGAUGUGAGAAUUUUUACAUUAAAGCCUGUGAGGAAAGAACUGACUUCCUCUGGUGGGCCAACAAAGUUUGAAAUCCAUAUAGUGGCUCAGUUCGAUAAUCAUAAUUCUCAGGUCUGGCGAGUGAGUUGGAAUAUAACAGGAACGGUGCUAGCAUCUUCAGGAGAUGAUGGGUGUGUAAGAUUGUGGAAAGCUAAUUAUAUGGACAAUUGGAAGUGUACUGGUAUUUUGAAAGGUAAUGGGAGCCCAGUCAAUGGGAGUUCUCAGCAGGGAACCUCAAAUCCUUCCCUAGGUUCAAAUAUUCCAAGUCUUCAGAAUUCAUUAAAUGGAUCUUCUGCUGGCAGAAAGCACAGCUGAGUACAAGCUAACUGGAGUAACUUUGCUGUUUUGCUGCUUGUUGCAUGCACACAGGAAUGGAAAGCGAGCUCCUUUUCCCCUUCCCCAGCGCCGUUUGACCUCUCCCAAGAUACACCAGCAGCCUGCUUACUACUAAACGCAAUCCAAAAGGCCUUUAAAAAUACAGUGUAUAUUUUUUUGUACUAGUCAGUUUAUUGACACUAUUUGAAACUUUUGAAAUAUAAACGGAGAGGCUUUCUGUUGAGACAUUGUCACCAAAACAAUUUUUUGAAAUGUUCCUGAAACUAAUUUGGGUUUAAAGAUUAAAAGGGUUGUUACCAUUCUUAUCUGAGUAGUUGGGAGGAGGGGAAUACCACUUUAGUUCAUUUGGAAAAUAUAGACAUAUUUCUUUUGCUUUCUUAAAACAGCUUAAAAUGAUGAACUUUUAUAAUUUUAAUUUGAAGAUUGAAUAAAUAUUUUUUAUAAAGAUUGUUUUGAGUGCUGAUUUGUUUACUUUUUGUAGAUUUGCUUUAUCCAUGAUAUUCAGUACAACUCUGUCAUUUCUUUGUAAUAUUUAAAAAAUAUUAGUAAAGGAGUGAAUUAAUAAAGUAGUAAUAGUAAAAUGAAAGGAACUUGACUGUACAGUUUGUAGCCAGGUUAAGCAUUUGGUAUUGUUUCAUUUACAAUUUGGGACUAAGAUGGAAACACUUUUUUAUAAGUUUUUAAUUCAUAGUCACUAAAGAGAUAAAUGUUUCUUAUAUACAUUUGUAUAUUUUUAUGGUGUUAUUUAUUCCAUGGCUUAGUUUCCUUCAAAUCAAAAUUUGGACACACACUAUUAAGAGAAGCCAUUAAAGUUUUACUAAAAUUGUGCAUGUAAAUUAAUGUCAGCAUUCCAUGUCUUAAGAUUUUCUUAAUUUAGUUUGCUGUUUAAAUUAAUUCAUAUCCUGUAAAGUUCUGACCUUGAUAACAAAGCUAUAAAUAUUUAAGUUUGCUAAUAUGCGUUAAGUAUUAUCGGUAAGUUACAAGAUGGAAGAAGAAUAACAGUAGGGCACAGUCAUUCUGUGAAUCCUUUUACUUAUCAAAAUUUGGUAGCUGUUCUAAGGCUUUUGCAGAAAAAUAAGUGUUCAAUGUUUGUAGUUCUUCAAAAGCAUGUUGCAGUAGCCAGCCAUACUAUGUGUAUUCCCAGUAUCAUGUAUGCACUAAAAAAAAUGUGUGCUUGCUGCUGCUGUGAACCAUUGCUUAAGAUAAAAAACUUAACUAGAUUUGUAAAUGUACAGAAUAGCAUCAGAUGUUUCUGAGAGAUUAGAAAAUGUUUUGAAUUUAUAAAAUUAAUGUUUUUCUUUGUAACAUUUAUAUAUAUUUUUUGACAUUUUAAGUUUAACAGAUUGUAUUCCUUUCAAGUUUCUAUACUUGCUUAAGCAAUCUUGAUUUGAGUAAGGGUCUUGAUUUGUGCUAUUAUGUUCUGUUAGUUUUGGCAUGAAUAUACUAAAGCUUUUUUUUUUUUUUCUAGCAUGUGUUUUCUCCUCUUUGGUUCUCUUUGUAUUUACUACUUUUCUCUUUUUCUUGUGUUUUUUUUUUUCCUGUUUUUGUUUUGUUUGGUGUUUUGUUCCUGUCUUCAUUGUUUCAGGUAUUUCUUUCCCCCUCUGGAUUCCCCACGGGCUGGAUCGAGAUGGUCCAGUUAUGCCCAGCUCCUUCCUCCUCCUCCUCCUCCUCUGGUAGAGCACUCUUGCGAUGCUGACACUGCCAACCUCCAGUAUCCUCACCCUCGCAGACGAUAUCUCUCUCGGCCUCUUAAUCCCUUACCUGAGAAUGAAGGGGUUUAAAACACUGAUUUAACAUUGAAAGGCCUUAUUCAAGUGCUUGUAAAUGCUUUCAUUUCUGGCUGCUUUUUGUUUUUCAUUUUCUUUCAGAAGAUUUUUCUAACUUAGGGUCUGUCUUGCAUGUAUUACAACCAGAAUACAGUGUUUAGAACCUAAAUCUGUUUGUGUGUCUGCAUCAAAGGAACAUUUGCUUCACUGGGUGAUAACCUUUGAUGAAAUGAGAUAUGUCCAAGUAACGUUAACUGUGAAGUUACACACAGUAGCUGACUUCAAAGUGCCUGUUCUGUAAAUUUUAUUUUAAAGUGUUACCGUAGUCUUAAGUUGUUUAUGCUUUAUCAGACUGGCUAAUGUGAAAGCAUAUUAUUAUGAAGUUUAUUCUGCCUUUGAGACCUUAAAAAAUGGAUUUCAUUUUACAGGCUAAUGUUGUAACUGACUAGUAUGUAAAAUAAAUCAUUCCUGUGUAUAAAGCAGCAAAA
RNAcentral lists this small RNA (5214 nucleotides) under Pan troglodytes (chimpanzee). RNAcentral's name for it is "retained intron". The record is from RNAcentral. Lineage: Eukaryota; Metazoa; Chordata; Mammalia; Primates; Hominidae.